Molecule: ribosomal RNA, 1372 nt
Filed under: uncultured bacterium
Lineage: Bacteria
Description: bacterial SSU rRNA
Rfam family: Bacterial small subunit ribosomal RNA
Source: RNAcentral
GAUGAACGCUGGCGGCGUGCCUAAUACAUGCAAGUCGAGCGAACGGACGAGAAGCUUGCUUCUCUGAUGUUAGCGGCGGACGGGUGAGUAACACGUGGAUAACCUACCUAUAAGACUGGGAUAACUUCGGGAAACCGGAGCUAAUACCGGAUAAUAUUUUGAACCGCAUGGUUCAAAAGUGAAAGACGGUCUUGCUGUCACUUAUAGAUGGAUCCGCGCUGCAUUAGCUAGUUGGUAAGGUAACGGCUUACCAAGGCAACGAUGCAUAGCCGACCUGAGAGGGUGAUCGGCCACACUGGAACUGAGACACGGUCCAGACUCCUACGGGAGGCAGCAGUAGGGAAUCUUCCGCAAUGGGCGAAAGCCUGACGGAGCAACGCCGCGUGAGUGAUGAAGGUCUUCGGAUCGUAAAACUCUGUUAUUAGGGAAGAACAUAUGUGUAAGUAACUGUGCACAUCUUGACGGUACCUAAUCAGAAAGCCACGGCUAACUACGUGCCAGCAGCCGCGGUAAUACGUAGGUGGCAAGCGUUAUCCGGAAUUAUUGGGCGUAAAGCGCGCGUAGGCGGUUUUUUAAGUCUGAUGUGAAAGCCCACGGCUCAACCGUGGAGGGUCAUUGGAAACUGGAAAACUUGAGUGCAGAAGAGGAAAGUGGAAUUCCAUGUGUAGCGGUGAAAUGCGCAGAGAUAUGGAGGAACACCAGUGGCGAAGGCGACUUUCUGGUCUGUAACUGACGCUGAUGUGCGAAAGCGUGGGGAUCAAACAGGAUUAGGUACCCUGGUAGUCCACGCCGUAAACGAUGAGUGCUAAGUGUUAGGGGGUUUCCGCCCCUUAGUGCUGCAGCUAACGCAUUAAGCACUCCGCCUGGGGAGUACGACCGCAAGGUUGAAACUCAAAGGAAUUGACGGGGACCCGCACAAGCGGUGGAGCAUGUGGUUUAAUUCGAAGCAACGCGAAGAACCUUACCAAAUCUUGACAUCCUUUGACAACUCUAGAGAUAGAGCCUUCCCCUUCGGGGGACAAAGUGACAGGUGGUGCAUGGUUGUCGUCAGCUCGUGUCGUGAGAUGUUGGGUUAAGUCCCGCAACGAGCGCAACCCUUAAGCUUAGUUGCCAUCAUUAAGUUGGGCACUCUAAGUUGACUGCCGGUGACAAACCGGAGGAGGGUGGGGAUGACGUCAAAUCAUCAUGCCCCUUAUGAUUUGGGCUACACACGUGCUACAAUGGACAAUACAAAGGGCAGCGAAACCGCGAGGUCAAGCAAAUCCCAUAAAGUUGUUCUCAGUUCGGAUUGUAGUCUGCAACUCGACUACAUGAAGCUGGAAUCGCUAGUAAUCGUAGAUCAGCUUGCUACGGUGAAUACGUUCCCGGGUCU